RNAcentral lists this ribosomal RNA (497 nucleotides) under uncultured bacterium. RNAcentral describes it as "partial 16S ribosomal RNA". It matches the Rfam family "Bacterial small subunit ribosomal RNA", at positions 30 to 507 of the family's 1533-position model. The record is from RNAcentral.
AUUGAACGCUGGCGGCAGGCCUAAUACAUGCAAGUCGAACGGAAACACGAAAAAGUUUGUUGUUUCGUUGAAGAGUGGCGGAGGGGUGUGAAAUGUGUGGGACAUUGCUUGAUGGCGGGGGAUAAUUACUGGAAACGGUAGUUAAUACCGAAUAUAGUUGCAAGACCAAAGUGGGGGAGUCUAGGGCGUUUUGGCAUUGGAUGAGCGAAGGAGCCACUCGGCAUUAGCUAGUUGGUAGGGUAACGGCUCACCAAGGCCACGAUCCCUAGCCGAUCUGAGAGGGUGAUCAGCCACACUGGAACUGAGACACGGUCCAGACUCCUACGGGAGGCAGCAGUAGGGAAUAUUCCGCAAUGGGCGCAAGCCUGACGCAGCCACGCCGCGUGUAUGAAGAAGGCCUUCGGAUUGUAAAAUACUGUUAGCAGGGAAGAACAGAUUUGUAUUAAUACCUGUGCACAUUGACGUUACCCGCAGAAAAAGCACCGGCUAACUCCGUG